RNAcentral lists this small nuclear RNA (103 nucleotides) under Carlito syrichta (Philippine tarsier). The record is from RNAcentral. Lineage: Eukaryota; Metazoa; Chordata; Mammalia; Primates; Tarsiidae.
GUGCCUGCUUUGGCAGCACACAUACUCAAAGUUAGAAUGAUAGAAGAUGAGCAUGGCCCCUGUCAAGGAUGACAUGCAAAUUCAUGAAGUGUUCCCUAUCUUU